Molecule: ribosomal RNA, 460 nt
Filed under: uncultured bacterium
Lineage: Bacteria
Description: partial 16S ribosomal RNA
Rfam family: Bacterial small subunit ribosomal RNA
Source: RNAcentral
CCUACGGGUGGCAGCAGUGAGGAAUAUUGGUCAAUGGCCGGAAGGCUGAACCAGCCAUGCCGCGUGAAGGUCAGUGCCCUAAGGGCGUUAAACUUCUUUUGUGCGGGAGCAAUCAUGGUCACGUGUGGCCAGACGAGAGUACCGUACGAAUAAGCAUCGGCUAACUCCGUGCCAGCAGCCGCGGUAAUACGGGGGAUGCAAGCGUUAUCCGGAUUUAUUGGGUUUAAAGGGUGCGUAGGCUGUGAGGUAAGUCAGCGGUGAAAUGCUCCCGCUCAACGGGGUGCAGUGCCAUUGAUACUGGCGUGCUGGAAUGCGGAUGCCGUGGGAGGAAUGUGUGGUGUAGCGGUGAAAUGCAUAGAUAUCACACAGAACACCGAUUGCGAAGGCAUCUCACGAAUCCGCGAUUGACGCUGAUGCACGAAAGCGUGGGUAUCAAACAGGAUUAGAUACCCUUGUAGUC